RNAcentral lists this transfer RNA (73 nucleotides) under Rhipicephalus sanguineus (brown dog tick). RNAcentral's name for it is "transfer RNA serine (anticodon GCU)". It matches the Rfam family "tRNA". From Rfam's summary of the family: Transfer RNA (tRNA) molecules are approximately 80 nucleotides in length. Lineage: Eukaryota; Metazoa; Arthropoda; Arachnida; Ixodida; Ixodidae. The record is from Rfam by way of RNAcentral.
GCCACGGUGGUCUAGUGGUUAUGGCGUUCGGCUGCUGACCCGAAGGUCGCGGGAUCAAAUCCCGGCCGCGGCG